GAUGUCGGCUCGUCACAUCCUGGGGCUGAAGAAGGUCCCAAGGGUUCGGCUGUUCGCCGAUUAAAGUGGCACGUGAGCUGGGUUCAGAACGUCGCGAGACAGUUCGGUCCCUAUCUGUUGUGGGCGUUGGAAGUUUGAGGUCACCUGACUCUAGUACGAGAGGACCGAGUUGGACAGACCGCUAGUGUAUCUGUUGUGGCGCCAGCUGCACUGCAGAGUAGCUAUGUCUGGAUGAGAUAAGCGCUGAAAGCAUCUAAGUGCGAAACUCAGACCAAGAUGAGACUUCCUUUAAGGGUCGUCAUAGAUUAUGACGUUGAUAGGAUACAGGUGUAAAGGCAGUAAUGCCAAAGCCGAGUAUUACUAAUUACCCGUAAGCUUUCUACUA
Molecule: ribosomal RNA, 385 nt
Filed under: Bacteroidota bacterium
Lineage: Bacteria; Pseudomonadati; Bacteroidota
Description: partial 23S ribosomal RNA
Rfam family: Bacterial large subunit ribosomal RNA
Source: RNAcentral